Molecule: antisense RNA, 75 nt
Filed under: Streptomyces sp. NRRL S-4
Lineage: Bacteria; Bacillati; Actinomycetota; Actinomycetes; Kitasatosporales; Streptomycetaceae
Description: ASpks sRNA
Rfam family: ASpks TB sRNA
Source: RNAcentral
CUUCAACGAUCCCAUCAGGAGCGGCUGUUCACCUGCACGGUCCUGGCCGUAGGUGGCGAGGACCGCCUGGGCCUC